Molecule: long non-coding RNA, 381 nt
Organism: Dendroctonus ponderosae (mountain pine beetle)
Lineage: Eukaryota; Metazoa; Arthropoda; Insecta; Coleoptera; Curculionidae
Exons: 2
Source: RefSeq, a predicted model, not a curated record
UAACUGCUUCUAGUCCAUGUGUUUCGCAUAGCUUUUGAUAGAGGAAUGGGUAGUUUCUUCUAAUGCUCGUGUAUAAACUUAUCAAAGAUUGUUUGGAGAUUGUGCUGCGCUCAUUUAAUCGUUAACAAGGUUUAUAGCAGCCACAAGCGAAUCGUCGGAUAUACUUUACUGGCCUCUGCUAUACUAGAUAGACAUAAGAUUAAAAAACGAUAUCGAGGUUAAAUUUAAGUAUCUACUAGAAACAAAGGAUACAAACAGAAAAAUUUCCGAUUGAGGGACUGUUUUGAGGUAAAUGUAGGAAGCAAACAUUUUACAACAACACUUUUUGCAUGUAUCUAGGGACUUUGAAACAUGAAUGUGAAUAAAAUGAAAAUUCUUUAA